UACGUAGGGUGCAAGCGUUAAUCGGAAUUACUGGGCGUAAAGAGUGCGCAGGCGGUUGUGCAAGACCGAUGUGAAAUCCCCGGGCUUAACCUGGGAAUGGCAUUGGUGACUGCACGGCUAGAGUGUGUCAGAGGGGGGUAGAAUUCCACGUGUAGCAGUGAAAUGCGUAGAGAUGUGGAGGAAUACCGAUGGCGAAGGCAGCCCCCUGGGAUAACACUGACGCUCAUGCACGAAAGCGUGGGGAGCAAACAGG
RNAcentral lists this ribosomal RNA (253 nucleotides) under uncultured bacterium. Its description in RNAcentral is "partial 16S ribosomal RNA". It matches the Rfam family "Bacterial small subunit ribosomal RNA", at positions 524 to 776 of the family's 1533-position model. The record is from RNAcentral.